Molecule: ribosomal RNA, 468 nt
Filed under: uncultured bacterium
Lineage: Bacteria
Description: partial 16S ribosomal RNA
Rfam family: Bacterial small subunit ribosomal RNA
Source: RNAcentral
GACGAACGCUGGCGGCGUGCUUAACACAUGCAAGUCGAACGGAAAGGCCCUGCUUUUGUGGGGUGCUCGAGUGGCGAACGGGUGAGUAACACGUGAGUAACCUGCCCUUGACUUUGGGAUAACUUCAGGAAACUGGGGCUAAUACCGGAUAGGAGCUCCUGCUGCAUGGUGGGGGUUGGAAAGUUUCGGCGGUUGGGGAUGGACUCGCGGCUUAUCAGCUUGUUGGUGGGGUAGUGGCUUACCAAGGCUUUGACAGGUAGCCGGCCUGAGAGGGUGACCGGCCACAUUGGGACUGAGAUACGGCCCAGACUCCUACGGGAGGCAGCAGUGGGGAAUAUUGCACAAUGGGCGGAAGCCUGAUGCAGCAACGCCGCGUGCGGGAUGACGGCCUUCGGGUUGUAAACCGCUUCCGCCUGUGACGAAGCGUGAGUGACGGUAAUGGGUAAAGAAGCACCGGCUAACUACGUG